Molecule: ribosomal RNA, 467 nt
Filed under: uncultured bacterium
Lineage: Bacteria
Description: partial 16S ribosomal RNA
Rfam family: Bacterial small subunit ribosomal RNA
Source: RNAcentral
GACGAACGCUGGCGGCGUGCUUAACACAUGCAAGUCGAACGGAAAGGCCCUGCUUUUGUGGGGUGCUCGAGUGGCGAACGGGUGAGUAACACGUGAGUAACCUGCCCUUGACUUUGGGAUAACUUCAGGAAACUGGGGCUAUACCGGAUAGGAGCUCCUGCUGCAUGGUGGGGGUUGGAAAGUUUCGGCGGUUGGGGAUGGACUCGCGGCUUAUCAGCUUGUUGGUGGGGUAGUGGCUUACCAAGGUUUUGACGGGUAGCCGGCCUGAGAGGGUGACCGGCCACAUUGGGACUGAGAUACGGCCCAGACUCCUACGGGAGGCAGCAGUGGGGAAUAUUGCACAAUGGGCGGAAGCCUGAUGCAGCAACGCCGCGUGCGGGAUGACGGCCUUCGGGUUGUAAACCGCUUUCGCCUGUGACGAAGCGUGAGUGACGGUAAUGGGUAAAGAAGCACCGGCUAACUACGUG